Molecule: long non-coding RNA, 499 nt
Organism: Notolabrus celidotus (New Zealand spotty)
Lineage: Eukaryota; Metazoa; Chordata; Actinopteri; Labriformes; Labridae
Exons: 2
Source: RefSeq, a predicted model, not a curated record
GACCUUUAACUACUCCAAAAAUAAAGUCUUUGGGAACCUGUAUGUCAGCAAGAAUCUCUCCAACAACUGCCAGAAUUUUCUCCAGAGCUGUCUUCUCAUGACCCCAGAGGACAGAGCUACCCUGGAGGCCCUGAAGGACCACCCUUGGCUGGUUUAACCAGGACAACAGGGGCCCUUCUUCCCCAAAGACUAAUGCCACCAUCCAAUCGUCCCCAUGAAAUGAAAAAUGUAAAAAGACUUUGUCCUUAAGACUACAACAGCUCAUAAAAACACCCAGCUGUCCGUGGUGAGGGGAUCUCUCUUUGAAUUGCCUCCCCCAAGGUUUCUUCUGUUUUCAGGAGUUUUUCCUUGUCUUCUUAGAGAGCUAGGGCUUGGUGGAGCUUGUUGAUAGAUCCUGAGUCAUUAUAUACAUGGGACAACAAAGAAAGUCUGUCUUUGUAGUCCAGAUCCAGAGUCUUAUUGGAUGGACUGAAAACUGAAAAAAAGACAUGCCAAAAAA